AACGCACCUUGCGCCCGCCAGUACUCUGGCGGGCAUGCCUGUUCGAGCGUCAUUUCAACCCUCAAGCCCUGCUUGGUGUUGGGGCCCUACGGCUGCCGUAGGCCCUGAAAGGAAGUGGCGGGCUCGCUACAACUCCGAGCGUAGUAGAAUCCUAUCUCGCUAGGGAGGUGCGGCGUGCUCCUGCCGUUAAAGACCCCAUAUUUAACCAAGGUUGACCUCGGAUCAGGUAGGAAUACCCGCUGAACUUAA
Molecule: unclassified non-coding RNA, 249 nt
Filed under: uncultured fungus
Lineage: Eukaryota; Fungi
Also listed under: 3 other names
Description: partial contains 5.8S ribosomal RNA, internal transcribed spacer 2, and large subunit ribosomal RNA
Source: RNAcentral